GUUAAAAAGCUCGUAGUCGAAUUUUUAAGGGAAUCAAUUUUAUGUGGUCUUAAUGAACUGCAAAGGAAGAUGAUUUAUCUUAUUUUAUGCUUUUGCACCAUUGGAAUUCGUUUUCUGAUAGUGGAGUAAGUUUGUGUUUACUUUGAGAAAAUUAGAGUGUUCAAAGCAGUCUUACGGCUUUAUAUUAAAGCAUGGAAUGAUAAAUAAUGACAUCGGUAAAUUUUUGUUGGUUUGAGAGACUGAUGUAAUGAUUUAUAGAGUUAGUCGGAGGUAUUAGUAUUUUAUCGUUAGAAGUGAAAUUCUGGGAUCGACAAAAGACUAACAACUGCGAAAGCAUUUACCUAGAAUGUGCUCCUUGAUCCAGAACGAAAGUUGGGGGAUCGAAGACGAUCAGAUACCGUCGUAGUCUCAACUUUUAAACUAUAUC
Molecule: ribosomal RNA, 427 nt
Filed under: uncultured marine eukaryote
Lineage: Eukaryota
Description: bacterial SSU rRNA
Rfam family: Eukaryotic small subunit ribosomal RNA
Source: RNAcentral